GUGCUUGCCUCACAGUACAUAGACUAAAACUGGAACAACAGAGAAGAUGAGCAUGACCCUGUCCAAAGAUGAUGUGUAAAUUCAUGAAGAGUUCCAUAGUUAA
RNAcentral lists this small nuclear RNA (103 nucleotides) under Procavia capensis (Cape rock hyrax). The record is from RNAcentral. Lineage: Eukaryota; Metazoa; Chordata; Mammalia; Hyracoidea; Procaviidae.